This 404-nucleotide long non-coding RNA is filed under the name Nicotiana tabacum (common tobacco). Its description in RNAcentral is "long non-coding RNA (NTAB_LNC007855)". Lineage: Eukaryota; Viridiplantae; Streptophyta; Magnoliopsida; Solanales; Solanaceae. The record is from RNAcentral.
CACAUUACACAUACACAACAAACGGACCAAUGAAUAAGGUACUUACGCCUUCUUCUUUCCUCCCUUCUUUCCCUUGGAAAUCCUCUUGUUCUUGCUGCGCAAUGGAACAAUAAAAGAGCAUUAGAAAUUGAAAAAAAUAAAUGAAUCAGAAAUAUGCUGUGAGCGUUAAAGAGAGAUACCCGACGGCCAUGUUGGGAAGGAAAGGUUAGAACUGCUUUGGGGCUAUUGGGGAAGGGGAUGAUGAGGCGAUACUUAAAGAGGAGCUGCGGAUGAGAAACCCUAGUUUCAGCAAGCAGCGCUGUAGUGUCAUGUGCUUGGUUAUAUAUAUCUUGCUAUGACAACAUCUGCCACUUCUUUUGGGUUUAAUUACGAAAACACCUUAGAUCCCCGUUUCCAGUUUUUUU